UGGUGUGUAGCUCAGUGGAUAGAGCAGCGGCCUACGAAGCCGUGUGCGCUGGUUCGAAUCCAGCCACGCCAGCAA
RNAcentral lists this transfer RNA (75 nucleotides) under Streptomyces sp. SDr-06. RNAcentral describes it as "tRNA-Arg". It matches the Rfam family "tRNA". Rfam says of the family: Transfer RNA (tRNA) molecules are approximately 80 nucleotides in length. Their secondary structure includes four short double-helical elements and three loops (D, anti-codon, and T loops). Lineage: Bacteria; Bacillati; Actinomycetota; Actinomycetes; Kitasatosporales; Streptomycetaceae. The record is from RNAcentral.